CCGUUAGAAAGGGGCAUGAAAAUCGGUCCCGUGCCUAUAAGGCAUCAGAGUUUGAAAUAAAAUAAC
Molecule: non-coding RNA, 66 nt
Organism: Prevotella sp. F0091
Lineage: Bacteria; Pseudomonadati; Bacteroidota; Bacteroidia; Bacteroidales; Prevotellaceae
Source: Rfam